This 492-nucleotide ribosomal RNA is filed under the name uncultured bacterium. Its description in RNAcentral is "partial 16S ribosomal RNA". It matches the Rfam family "Bacterial small subunit ribosomal RNA", at positions 29 to 507 of the family's 1533-position model. The record is from RNAcentral.
AGUGAACGCUGGCGGUAGGCCUAACACAUGCAAGUCGAACGGCAGCACAGUAAGAGCUUGCUCUUACGGGUGGCGGGUGGAGGACGGGUGAGGAAUACAUCGGAAUCUACUUUUUCGUGGGGGAUAACGUAGGGAAACUUACGCUAAUACCGCAUACGACCUACGGGUGAAAGCAGGGGAUCUUCGGACCUUGCGCGAUUGAAUGAGCCGAUGUCGGAUUAGCUAGUUGGCGGGGUAAAGGCCCACCAAGGCGACGAUCCGUAGCUGGUCUGAGAGGAUGAUCAGCCACACUGGAACUGAGACACGGUCCAGACUCCUACGGGAGGCAGCAGUGGGGAAUAUUGGACAAUGGGCGCAAGCCUGAUCCAGCCAUACCGCGUGGGUGAAGAAGGCCUUCGGGUUGUAAAGCCCUUUUGUUGGGAAAGAAAAGCAGCAGGUUAAUACCCCGCUGUUCUGACGGUACCCAAAGAAUAAGCACCGGCUAACUUCGUG